This 497-nucleotide ribosomal RNA is filed under the name uncultured bacterium. RNAcentral's name for it is "partial 16S ribosomal RNA". It matches the Rfam family "Bacterial small subunit ribosomal RNA", at positions 28 to 507 of the family's 1533-position model. The record is from RNAcentral.
GAUGAACGCUGGCGGCGUGCCUAAUACAUGCAAGUCGAGCGAACGGACGAGAAGCUUGCUUCUCUGAUGUUAGCGGCGGACGGGUGAGUAACACGUGGAUAACCUACCUAUAAGACUGGGAUAACUUCGGGAAACCGGAGCUAAUACCGGAUGAUAUUUUGAACCGCAUGGUUCAAAAGUGAAAGACGGUCUUGCUGUCACUUAUAGAUGGAUCCGCGCUGCAUUAGCUAGUUGGUAAGGUAACGGCUUACCAAGGCAACGAUGCAUAGCCGACCUGAGAGGGUGAUCGGCCACACUGGAACUGAGACACGGUCCAGACUCCUACGCGAGGCAGCAGUAGGGAAUCUUCCGCAAUGGGCGAAAGCCUGACGGAGCAACGCCGCGUGAGUGAUGAAGGUCUUCGGAUCGUAAAACUCUGUUAUUAGGGAAGAACAUAUGUGUAAGUAACUGUGCACAUCUUGACGGUACCUAAUCAGAAAGCCACGGCUAACUACGUG